GAUGAACGCUGGCGGCGUGCCUAAUACAUGCAAGUCGAGCGAACAGACGAGGAGCUUGCUCCUCUGACGUUAGCGGCGGACGGGUGAUUAACACGUGGAUAACCUCCCUCUAAGACUGGGAUAACUUCGGGAAACCGGAGCUAAUACCGGAUAAUAUAUUGUACCGCAUGGUUCAAUAGUGAACGACGGUUUUGCUGAUCCUUGUAGAUGGAUCAGCGUCGCUUUAGCUAGUUGGUAAGCUAACGGAUUACUAAUGCAACGAUGCGUAGCCGACCGGAAAGGGUGAUAGGCGACACCGGAGGUGAGACACACUCCAGACACCUACAGGAGGCACAGGUGGGUAAGCUUCCGCACUGGGCGGAAUCUUGACCGAGCAACGCCACGUGAGUGAUGAAGGUCUUCGGAUCGGAAAACUCUGUUAUGGGUGAAGAACAAAUUUGUAAGUAACUAUGCCCGUCUUGACGGUACCUAAACAAAAAGCCACGGCUAACUACGUG
This 497-nucleotide ribosomal RNA is filed under the name uncultured bacterium. RNAcentral describes it as "partial 16S ribosomal RNA". It matches the Rfam family "Bacterial small subunit ribosomal RNA", at positions 28 to 507 of the family's 1533-position model. The record is from RNAcentral.